UAAAUAUUUUAAGAACUCAGUUUGCAAGAAAAACCGUUGCCGAUGGAACUUUGAAGCUCUAAUUCACAUGACAUCCAAAGUCCAGGACAGAACGACCAGGAGGAUAGAGGUUUUUUAAUGAAAAUAGGGGACGAGACGUGCAGGACGCUCAGAUACGCUCAGAUACGCCCUGUCCAUUACAAUGCAGUGCCGCUCAGGAUUCUUGAAAAAUUGAGCGGCGCUACAAUUGCGCUCGCCACCUUGAGACGUCAUCAUCAUCAUCAUUUUAGCCGGAACACGUCCAUUGUUGGACAAAGGCCUCCCCCAAAGAUCGCCAUGACGGCCGGUCAUCCAACUUAUUCCGGCGAUCUUGACUAGAUUACAACACUAC
Molecule: long non-coding RNA, 370 nt
Organism: Leptidea sinapis
Lineage: Eukaryota; Metazoa; Arthropoda; Insecta; Lepidoptera; Pieridae
Exons: 3
Source: RefSeq, a predicted model, not a curated record